RNAcentral lists this ribosomal RNA (461 nucleotides) under Saccharomyces cerevisiae (brewer's yeast). Its description in RNAcentral is "eukaryotic LSU rRNA". The stretch from base 1 to 221 matches the Rfam family "Eukaryotic large subunit ribosomal RNA", at positions 65 to 358 of the family's 3401-position model. Lineage: Eukaryota; Fungi; Ascomycota; Saccharomycetes; Saccharomycetales; Saccharomycetaceae. The record is from RNAcentral.
CCGCGGGCAUGCUUAGUACGGCGAGUGAAGCGGCAAAAGCUCAAAUUUGAAAUCUGGUACCUUCGGUGCCCGAGUUGUAAUUUGGAGAGGGCAACUUUGGGGCCGUUCCUUGUCUAUGUUCCUUGGAACAGGACGUCAUAGAGGGUGAGAAUCCCGUGUGGCGAGGAGUGCGGUUCUUUGGCAUGCUUAGUACGGCGAGUGAAGCGGCAAAAGCUCAAAUUUGAAAUCUGGUACCUUCGGUGCCCGAGUUGUAAUUUGGAGAGGGCAACUUUGGGGCCGUUCCUUGUCUAUGUUCCUUGGAACAGGACGUCAUAGAGGGUGAGAAUCCCGUGUGGCGAGGAGUGCGGUUCUUUGAGGAUAAAUCCAUAGGAAUGUAGCUUGCCUCGGUAAGUAUUAUAGCCUGUGGGAAUACUGCCAGCUGGGACUGAGGACUGCGACGUAAGUCAAGGAUGCUGGCAUAA